CGUAGGGUGCGAGCGUUAAUCGGAAUUACUGGGCGUAAAGCGUGCGCAGGCGGUUUGUUAAGAUAGGCGUGAAAUCCCCGGGCUCAACCUGGGAACUGCGCUUAUGACUGGCAAGCUAGAGUACGGCAGAGGGGGUGGAAUUCCACGUGUAGCAGUGAAAUGCGUAGAGAUGUGGAGGAACACCAAUGGCGAAGGCAGCCCCCUGGGUCGAUACUGACGCUCAUGCACGAAAGCGUGGGUAGCAAACAGGAUUAGAUACCCUGGUAGUCCACGCCCUAAACGAUGUCAACUAGGUGUUGGAUGGGUAAAACCAUUUAGUACCGGAGCUAACGCGUGAAGUUGACCGCCUGGGGAGUACGGCCGCAAGGUU
This 370-nucleotide ribosomal RNA is filed under the name uncultured organism. RNAcentral's name for it is "bacterial SSU rRNA". It matches the Rfam family "Bacterial small subunit ribosomal RNA", at positions 526 to 895 of the family's 1533-position model. The record is from RNAcentral.